Molecule: long non-coding RNA, 921 nt
Filed under: Felis catus (domestic cat)
Lineage: Eukaryota; Metazoa; Chordata; Mammalia; Carnivora; Felidae
Description: lncRNA (ENSFCAG00000049635.1)
Source: RNAcentral
AUCCUGACUCUGCUUGGCCAAGCUUCUUACCUCUUCCUGGGUUUAGCUUGCACUUUCUUCUCAGGUGUCUCACCUCUGAGGUAGAAAAAACCCAUGGGUCUGUCUACUGCACGAAAUCUAAACCUGUAUCCUGCCCACUUUUCACGAUGACCCACUGUUGGAGCAAUAGAGGUACAGUAAAUAACACCCCAUGUCCCCCCUCCUAUGUUUGGAACCAAUCGAUAAUCAAGAUACAGAGACAGGUGGUUAAACCAUCAACUUUAGACAGACUUACUCAUCACGAGUAGUACUGAGCACCCCCGGCCAUCCAUCACAGUAGAGAGCCUGCUUUUAUUAGAUUUUUUCUCAUGUAUGAGCAGGUUGAAUGCAUGUGUCCUGUGGGCAGGUCAGCCCUGGAUAAAAAAAGAAAACCAACAAAUAACUGGAAGAGGCUGAGCUGGGCAUGCUCAGUGCUGUCUCUUCAGCUCACUAAUCAGGUACAGUGAGAGAGGGGGUGUGGAGAGAGGCCAGGAAUAGUACUCUGCUCAGCGGUUCUCAAACUUCAGUGAGUGUCUGUCACCUCACCUGAAGGGCUUGUGAAAACAAGCUUGUAACAGGUUCCAGGUGAUGCUGACACUGCUGGUCCAGGGACCACACUUUAAAAACCAAAGCUCCUGCUGAAGCCCUUCCACAUGUAAAGAUGAAGUGAGGGGAACAAAGGUGCCCUUUUAACAUUUACCUUCAUUUAAUGAAACAUUUAGAUUAAAAUACCAUUGUUAAGUCUUUCACAGUGGGGAAAUCAUAGUGAAUCAUUUCAUAAUGUAUGUGUAUAUCAAAUCACCACAAUGUCCACUUUACAUAGCUUUACAAUUUUAUAUGUCAGUUAUACUUCCUCACUAAAGCUGAAAUAAAAAAAUAAAACACUACGGUUAUCUGUGUGUC